RNAcentral lists this ribosomal RNA (398 nucleotides) under Candidatus Poribacteria bacterium. RNAcentral describes it as "bacterial LSU rRNA". It matches the Rfam family "Bacterial large subunit ribosomal RNA", at positions 2529 to 2925 of the family's 2925-position model. Lineage: Bacteria; Candidatus Poribacteria. The record is from RNAcentral.
AUGUCGGCUCAUCACAUCCUGGGGCUGAAGAAGGUCCCAAGGGUUGGGCUGUUCGCCCAUUAAAGUGGUACGUGAGCUGGGUUUAGAACGUCGUAAGACAGUUCGGUCCCUAUCUUUUACGGGCGUAGGAAAUUUGAGUGGAGCUGCCGCUAGUAUGAGAAGACCGUGGUGGACGAACCUCUGGUGCACCAGUUGUCACGCCUGUGGCAUCGCUGGGUAGCUAUGUUCGGAAAGGAUAAAUGCUGAAAGCAUCUAAGCAUGAAGCCUUCCUCAAGAUAAGAUUUCCCACAGAGUUAAUCUGGUAAGACCCCUUGUAGAUAACGAGGUUGAUAGGCCAAGUGUGUAAGCGCGGUGACGUGUUUAGCUAAUUGGUACUAAUUGGUCGAGGGCUUAACUUA